This is a non-coding RNA of Lupinus albus (white lupine), 78 nucleotides long. Lineage: Eukaryota; Viridiplantae; Streptophyta; Magnoliopsida; Fabales; Fabaceae. The record is from the annotation of a GenBank genome assembly.
UUGAGCCGUACGAGGUGAAAUUCUCAUAUACGGCUCUCGGGGGGGGGGGGGGGGUUCCCUUUGUUUACCUAUCUCAAU